RNAcentral lists this ribosomal RNA (253 nucleotides) under uncultured bacterium. RNAcentral describes it as "partial 16S ribosomal RNA". It matches the Rfam family "Bacterial small subunit ribosomal RNA", at positions 524 to 776 of the family's 1533-position model. The record is from RNAcentral.
UACGAAGGGGGCUAGCGUUGUUCGGAAUCACUGGGCGUAAAGCGCAUGCAGGCGGAUUGUUAAGUCGGGGGUGAAAUCCCGAGGCUCAACCUCGGAACUGCCUUCGAUACUGGCAAUCUUGAGUCCGGGAGAGGUGAGUGGAACUGCGAGUGUAGAGGUGAAAUUCGUAGAUAUUCGCAAGAACACCAGUGGCGAAGGCGGCUCACUGGCCCGGUACUGACGCUGAGGUGCGAAAGCGUGGGGAUCAAACAGG